AGAAGCGGUCGGCUGCUGAAGCGGGCGGCUGCGAGCUAGACUGAUCGGCACGCGAAACCGGAGCCCUGGAGAGCGUGCGGCGGCCUGAGGCUGCCUCUCGGGCUGACCAUUCCGGGUUCGGGGUAGGCCGGAGCUCUUCAGGGAGCGUCCCCGCCCCGACGCGCGGGUCCCCGCCUCCCGCGUCCGCACCGCCCCCCGGCUCCGCCCGCUCAGCCCGGCUAACGGUCGGCGCGGCCUGCCACGAGGGAGCGUCCGCGGCCCGCGCAGAGCCGCGCACCAAGCCGAUGGCGGUGGACGCAGCAGGGCCCCGCGGUCUGAGUGCGGGCAGGCGCGCGUGGGCGUGUCUCCCUGGCCCACGCGUGUCCCCGGCAUCAGUGUCUCGGCUCUGGUCCAGGACGAAGACUUCUGAAAGCGAGCCAAGGAGAAUCACAGUUCUUAACGGAGCCCCUGACUGCCCGGUGGAAGGAGGUGAUUUAGAAGACAGUGAGUUGAUCUGGGGCAAAGUGAAGCAUCAGUAGCGCCUUCCAUCCCUUCACCUCACCUGGAUCUCUUCACUUCACUCCACGUCUGUCGUCUCCCAUGCAUGAAGCAACAUGGCCAAGUGAAGCUGCAACCAGUAAAGUCACAGGAUGUUUCUUGGCUUCAAACCAUUUGGAUAAGUGAUGGCAGCAAGCUUCGCCACUGUAAAGUCACCUCUUUGUAAGAAGACAGGAGCUCUUUGUAAAGAAUAUGAGACCUGAGGCUGGGGGAUGGCUGAGAAGGGAAAAGCACCUCUGCACAAGCGUGAGAAAAGGAGUUUGUUCUUCCACAUCCAUGUAGAAAUCUUGAUGCCGUGCCGUGAACCCCAGCUCUCCUACGGGAAGAUGGGAGGCGUAGACAGGAGUUCAUCUGGAAGCUUGAGGCCAGCCACCCAGAUCCUCAGAGCUGCAGACAAAAGAGAGGCCCUGCAGCAAAAGAGUGGAAGGUGAGAACCAACUCCGGAAAGUUGCCCUCUGACCUUUACAAGUGUAUACAUCCACACACAUACAAUAAAAUCAAUUGCUCAAUCACGUA
This 1053-nucleotide long non-coding RNA is filed under the name Mus musculus (house mouse). RNAcentral's name for it is "colorectal neoplasia differentially expressed, non-protein coding, transcript variant 2 (Crnde)". Lineage: Eukaryota; Metazoa; Chordata; Mammalia; Rodentia; Muridae. The record is from RNAcentral.